Ziziphus jujuba (common jujube) is the source of this 2206-nucleotide long non-coding RNA. RefSeq lists it as uncharacterized. NCBI's taxonomy places the organism in Eukaryota, Viridiplantae, Streptophyta, Magnoliopsida, Rosales, Rhamnaceae. The record is from RefSeq and is a predicted model, not a curated record. The transcript is spliced from 3 exons.
UUUUUUUUCCCCCUUCUUUCUCUCUCUCUCUCUCUCUCUCUCUCUCCAUCCAUCUAUAUGCAACUCAUCAAGACCAGUAGGAGAAGAGAGAGAGUACAGCUUCUGAGUGACCUCUAAAUUUGUUUCCCUGCAGUUAUAUAUGAACAUCAUAUAUGAUAUCAGUUUAUGAAGCUGUACCCUCUCUCUUCCUCUGCUUAUCUUUGAUGAUCAAUCCUCAAUAUUAUAUUCUAUCUCUCUCAUCAACAGCUUUUAUAUAUAUAUAUAUAUGUAUGUAUGUAUAAAAUUAUUUUAAUUUAGCUACGAUGAGUACAUGUAAUUCGAAUAAUAUAUCACUGAAUUUCAUUUACUUGUAUUUUAUAGAAAUUUUCACCUAUUUGGUAUGUAAUCAAACGCCAAUCUGACAAUAUAAGUUGUCUGGUAUAAUAAAUUUUUUGAUGAGUAUGUAUAUAUCUAUAAAUUAAAUUUGGCAAGUUUUAUGACAGUUAUUUUUUUUAAAAUUGGCAAGUUUUAUGCGAGUUAAUUUACAUAAAAAUUUUGCAGAAAAAUGAAUGCAUGUUUUAUGCUUUUUAGGUUGAGAACCUAACUAGAUGCAGUACUUGAACUUACCUGACGAAUGAUGGAGGAAAAGACUACUUUUGUAUGCAUUGAUGGAUGUGUGUGGUUUUCUAGCAACUUUCUAGUACAGGUUUCCAGCUGCUCAGAACCAUGGACAAAGAAAGCGGGGAGAUACCUGUGGCGUUUGUGGUUAAGAAACAUGGAAGCUCGCUUACAGAGGCAGAUGCUAUGGAUUAUGUUGCUGCAAAGCAAACUUUCAAUCAAAAGCAUUGAAAACCAUGACUGCAACCACGGUGUGCUGUUAUACAUAGUGCCAUCACCAAAUGCCGGGACAUCUUCUCCAGCCGGCCUCCCCCCAGCCAAAUGGAAUGAAGUUGAAGUUAUAAAUGUUCUUUUAUUCUGUUCACUGUCAUGAUGAGCAUGCCCUAAAUAAGUUUCUCACAUUUGUGUUUUUUUACCAUAUACCUUUGAAUUUGAUCUCUCAUAAUAUGCCCUAAAUAAGUUUCUCACAUUUGGGUUUUUUACCAUAUACCUUUGAAAUGAUCUCUCAUAAUUGCGUGCACAAACAAUGAGGCCCAUGGUAGGUAGGAAGUCUGGGUUUUGAAGAUAGACAUGGGUUUGAUGGAGCUGUUUCUUGAAGAAGGGUUCCAGGGGAAGGGUUGAAAGAAGCCAAGGAAGUAGAGAAGGCAGUGCUGCAGAUCAGAACAUGGUGGGCAAGUUUCCAACACAUAAAAGGUCAAAAAGCUUUUUAAUGGAGUUUUCUUAUUGGUUCUAAGUGGAUAAGGAUAAAGAAAGCAUGAUGUAUCAUAAACAGUGGGGUCAAACUUUAGUACAAAAGCUUUAUUGACUGUCGGCCGACUGAUAUGCCUGCCUUUUUUUUUUUUUUUUUUUGGGGGUAAAUAAAAUCUUGCUAUGCUUAAUAUCAAAGAACAAAACAACACUAUAUUUUCAUGUAAAAAUGACAAAAAUAAUUAUAAAGUGCAACAGAAAUUGGACAUUUUGCUAUUAUAUAAAACCCAAAAAUAUCAGUCUAUUUAUAAUAAAAAUUAGGUGUCAACUCAAGUAUAUAAUGUCAAUUAACUUUUCUUGGCCUCCUUUGGAACUUGAAAUUAAUUUCUUCAUAAUAUUGUAAAAAAUGUGAUUUUUAUUUUUUUUUUUCGUAAAAUACGUAAAAUGUGAUUCAGUUGUGCAUAUUGUAAACAAUGUUUUUAUGCUUCUGCAGGAGGGUUAUUAUGAGAAAUGUUAACAAAACAAAGGGUAAUUUUAAUUGGUUCUUGUAGUUUGCUCGUUAGAUUUUCGAAAACUGAAUCUCUUUAAAAGUUAUUGCUUGUGGAGGUGGCAGUUCUUAAUUCAGAUUCUUCAUGUCUUAACACUAGAAAUUUGUCGAAUAUUUUACCGAAAUAUAAUUAUAAGAGUGCAUUUCAGUAAUAUACAUAUAUAUAUAUAUAUAUAUAUAUAUUAUUAGAAUGCAGAACUAUAUUUUCACAAAACACUACAUAACAUGCAUGUUUAGCUACACUAUGCAUUCCCUCUUCUCUAUUGAGAAAAAGAAAGAAAAGAGGACUGCAAAUUCCAUCAAAAGAUGAGACUUAAAACAUGGAUACAUAUAAUAUAUAUAUAUAUAUAUACACACACACACACACAUCAAAAA